Molecule: long non-coding RNA, 1447 nt
Filed under: Carica papaya (papaya)
Lineage: Eukaryota; Viridiplantae; Streptophyta; Magnoliopsida; Brassicales; Caricaceae
Description: long non-coding RNA (CPAP_LNC012669)
Source: RNAcentral
GAGGGUAAACGAGUAUCGUGUGGCCGAGGGUUUGAUCCGGGGUGUCCGGCCAGCAUUGCUCAACAGUUCCAGCAAUUUCAAGUCCUGUUGCAGAGGUAUAUAGAGAAUGAGCCUUAUGAACAAGGCAGGAGACCAGAGAUAUAUGCCAGGAUGAGGCUAUUGGCACCCAAAUUGCUCCUAGUCCCAGAAUAUAGAGGUAAGUUUUGAUCAAUCUAAAUCUCUAUUUAAUUUUGAUUUAAGAGAGAAUUACUGAUGGAAUGUGUUAAUAUUAUGUAUAUAAAUUGAAUAAUAUUUCCUCUAUAUGUUAAGUAACAACUAACUUUUGUCACAUGGAAUUAAAAUAAAUUAAAUUAAAAAUAGACUUAGAAGCAUGAUAGGAUUUUCAAUCAAAUAUAAUAUAGUUCUAAAUCACAAUUAUUUUAAUUUUGUGAAAUUUAUAAUGUUUUUAAUUAAACGAUGAUAUUUUCAGUCUUGAAUUAUGAAAGCAAUUUUCAUGCUCAGUCAAAUGAUAAAAGAGACUAAAAUCAAAAGGGAAAAGGAAAGGAUGAACACAAUUUUGCUUUUUCUUAAAAGGGUAUACUGGAUGUAGUAUAUCCUCUUUAACUUGUUCUUUCAAUUUUAGAUCUAAUUUUUUUAUUAACCGGACUGGACUAACGAUUAUGAUAAAAAAAUUAUUUUAAUUCGAAAGGAUUAGUAAUAUAUUAAGCAUUCAAAUUCAAUUAAUAUUACAAAAAGCAUUUCGAAAGUAAAAUCUUAAAGCACAAAAUAAUUAAAGAACAUCCUCUUUUGACAUUGUAUGACAAAGAUUAAUUAGUAUUAGAAGAGCACAAAAAGUUAAUCGAAGAAUACUCCUAUACUAAAUGCAUCAUAUUUUAUAAUUAAGUCAGUAAACUAAUUUCUUACAUGGUUAUUUAAAUCAAAGAUUCUGAAGAUGAUGAUCAUCACAAGGACGAAGGUUUUGGAUCGAGAAUUUCAUCGGCUUCAUUUCUUAUGAUCAUGGAGGAUGGUAUCCGAACCUUCAUGAAUUUCCUCAAGGCAGACAAGGAGAAUCCCUGCAGCCAAAUCCUUAAAUCUUUCUUUGGCCGAUCAAGAAGAGGCUCAGUUGAUCCAACUCUUCUUCACUUGAUGAAAAAAGUUAAUGCCAAAGUAAGUCUCAACACUAAUGUUUAAACUUGUAAUUAAAACACAAUUAAUUAAAUUAAUUCCUAAUUAAUUAUUUUUCAUACAGAAAAAGAUGAAAUUAAAGGAUCUCCGGAGAGCAGGAAAAUGCAUGAGGAGAAGAAAAUUGAAGAUAGAAGAAGAGAUGGAGAUAUUAAUGGGACUGAUAGAUCUAAAAGUGGUUUCUAGGGUCCUGAGAACGACUGACAUGAACGAAGAACAAUUGCACUGGUGUGAGGAGAAGAUGAGUAAAGUCAGAAUUUUAGAUGGGAAACUACAAAGAGAUUCC